This 497-nucleotide ribosomal RNA is filed under the name uncultured bacterium. RNAcentral's name for it is "partial 16S ribosomal RNA". It matches the Rfam family "Bacterial small subunit ribosomal RNA", at positions 28 to 507 of the family's 1533-position model. The record is from RNAcentral.
GACGAACGCUGGCGGCGUGCCUAAUACAUGCAAGUUGAGCGCUGAAGGUUGGUACUUGUACCGACUGGAUGAGCAGCGAACGGGUGAGUAACGCGUGGGGAAUCUGCCUUUGAGCGGGGGACAACAUUUGGAAACGAAUGCUAAUACCGCAUAAAAACUUUAAACACAAGUUUUAAGUUUGAAAGAUGCAAUUGCAUCACUCAAAGAUGAUCCCGCGUUGUAUUAGCUAGUUGGUGAGGUAAAGGCUCACCAAGGCGAUGAUACAUAGCCGACCUGAGAGGGUGAUCGGCCACAUUGGGACUGAGACACGGCCCAAACUACUACGGGAGGCAGCAGGAGGGAAUCUUCGGCAAUGGACGAAAGUCUGACAGAGCAACGCCGCGUGAGUGAAGAAGGUUUUCGGAUCGUAAAACUCUGUUGGUAGAGAAGAACGUUGGUGAGAGUGGAAAGCUCAUCAAGUGACGGUAACUACCCAGAAAGGGACGGCUAACUACGUG